Molecule: long non-coding RNA, 1194 nt
Filed under: Homo sapiens (human)
Lineage: Eukaryota; Metazoa; Chordata; Mammalia; Primates; Hominidae
Description: non-protein coding lnc-ARIH1-5:1
Source: RNAcentral
AUGUGGCCCCAACCCCGCCUCCCUCCCCACACCACCAUGUAGGAAGAAACUCAACAGAGCAAAUUGGCUGCAGCCAAGAAAAAGGUAAAAACCACCAGGUCAUAGCCCCUGACCCACCUGCAGACUUCCUCUGACGGCAGGACUACUGCCAGAGACUAAGACAACCACUUCUGGUGGUUGCCACUCACCUGGGGAUAGCCGGUACCAAGAACUAGCAGUAGCCCUGGACUUGAGCUCUGCAACAAUCAGUCAACUCAUUGAAAACAUAGUCAUUGAAACAGCAGAAGAAACAAGUGGAACAUCAGCUGGAAGAAGAAAAGAAAACCAACAAUGAAAUACACAAAGCACAAAUGGAGCAGUUAGAGACAAUCAACAUCCUCAUGUUGGAAAAAGCAGACUUGAAGACCACCCUUUACCAUACUAAACGUGCUGCCCGGCACUUUGAAGCAGAAUCUAAGGAUCUGGCCAGCCACCUGCAAUAUUCCUUGCAGUGUAUUGGAGAGUUGGAGUGGGCUCUCUGUGCUGUGUCUCCAUGCAGCAGCAGGAGGAGGACAGGGUGACUGAAACAGGAGAGGCUGCGGGAGCAGGAGGAGAGGCUGCGGGAGUAGGAGGAGAGACUGCUGGAGCAGGAGAGACUGCUGGAGCAGGAGGGGCUGCAGGAACAGGGGGAGAGGCUGAGAAAGCAGGAGGAGAGGCUGCUACAGAAGGAGAGGCUGCUGGAGCAGGAGGAGAGGCUGCAAAGGCAGGAGGAGAGGCUGAGGGAAGAGGAAGAGAGGCUGUGGGAGCAGGAGCAGAGGCUGAGGGAGCAGGAGGAGAGGCUGCUGGAACUGGAGCAGAAAGCCAAGCUCUGGGACGAGCAGGCAGAGACACACAUGCAAACCAUGCGGAAUGACUGCACCACCAUCAGCCACAUGCUCUCGCAGAACCACGAGCUUGAUAAGCAGCUGGGCGAGCCACAGUACGACUUCCAGGAGCUGGUGGGGCGCACUGCAGUUGGAGCAGCAAGUAAAGUUGCUGCAGGAGAAGCUGGUGCCUAGAAGCUGCCAGCCAGCAGAAACAGCAGCUAGAGGCCCAGUUGAGCCUCAUGGCUCUCCCUGGAGAAAAGAUGGAGGAGGACAUCUGGACAGUGAGGAGGAGGAGGUGCCUUAGCCCCUUCCGAGCAUCCUGGAGGACCUGGAGAGCCGGGAGGCCAUG